Molecule: transfer RNA, 72 nt
Filed under: Caldifarciminota bacterium SM23_60
Lineage: Bacteria; Pseudomonadati; Caldifarciminota
Also listed under: 4 other names
Description: tRNA-Met
Rfam family: tRNA
About the family: Transfer RNA (tRNA) molecules are approximately 80 nucleotides in length.
Source: RNAcentral
CGCGGGGUGGAGCAGUGGUAGCUCAUUGGGCUCAUAACCCAAAGGUCGCUGGUUCGAAUCCAGCCCCCGCUA